GAUGAACGCUGGCGGCGUGCCUAAUACAUGCAAGUCGAGCGAACAGACGAGGAGCUUGCUCCUCUGACGUUAGCGGCGGACGGGUGAGUAACACGUGGAUAACCUACCUAUAAGACUGGGAUAACUUCGGGAAACCGGAGCUAAUACCGGAUAAUAUAUUGAACCGCAUGGUUCAAUAGUGAAAGACGGUUUUGCUGUCACUUAUAGAUGGAUCCGCGCCGCAUUAGCUAGUUGGUAAGGUAACGGCUUACCAAGGCGACGAUGCGUAGCCGACCUGAGAGGGUGAUCCGCCACACCUGAACCUGAGCACGGGCCAAGCUCCUACGGGGAGCAAGAGGAGGGAAUUCUCCGGAAAGGGCGAAAGCCUGACGGAGCAACGCCGCGUGAGUGAUGAAGGUCUUCGGAUCGUAAAACUCUGUUAUUAGGGAAGAACAAAUGUGUAAGUAACUAUGCACGUCUUGACGGUACCUAAUCAGAAAGCCACGGCUAACUACGUG
Molecule: ribosomal RNA, 497 nt
Filed under: uncultured bacterium
Lineage: Bacteria
Description: partial 16S ribosomal RNA
Rfam family: Bacterial small subunit ribosomal RNA
Source: RNAcentral